Long non-coding RNA from Canis lupus familiaris (dog), 1961 nucleotides. RefSeq lists it as uncharacterized. The record is from RefSeq and is a predicted model, not a curated record. NCBI's taxonomy places the organism in Eukaryota, Metazoa, Chordata, Mammalia, Carnivora, Canidae. The transcript has 3 exons.
CGCCGCGCCCCGCCCUGAGCCCGCGUCCCCGCUCCUGGCCGCUGCCGAGGCGUCCCGGAUUGCGCUCGGCCGGGGUCUUGCCGGGGCGCAUCCCGCCGGAUCCUUGGCCGCGGGCAGGCUCCCUCCACCUCGCUCUGCUUCCGCCUCGCCUCCUCCCGCCCCGCCCUAGGCUCGGCAGGUCUCCGUUCCCAUUGGCCUCCGGGAGGAAAGGGUCCAGCGUGGAAACGGUCAGGGAGAGCUUCCUCCUGAAAUUUGGACCGCAUGCUCGGAAGCGGCCGCCCUCGACAGCCAUCAGGAAUCCUGGCCAGCCACUGGAGGAAGAGAUGCUCAGCGACCAACGACAGGCUUCUCCCCACCAUGGCCAUGAGCAGCUGGGCACCCCUCCUCCACCAGGUGAACUGACACUGCCUUCCCGGAUGCUACCACCAGCCCCUUCCCUCCAUUCUCUGCCAUCACCAGCCAGAGGGACGAGGAUCACUUUACAACCUGAGCUGACAUCAGUUUGGUGUGGCUCGCUUCUCCAGACUCUGCUCCCCCGAGCACAUCUGAAUUGGCCUUUGCAUCUAGUGUGCACCCCCUUGACGACAGCACUCUUUCCUGGUGUGGCUCACAGAUGCAGCCUAGCACCGGCAUGUGUGUUUACUGUGUGUUUACUGCACAGGUGAGAUGGUCACCGCCAUCAGGCAAGGUCAGGCGUACACCCCGCCCCACCUGCAGUAACCCCUUGGCCACCCCGCAGCCUCAGAUUGCCAUAACCCCUUGGCCACCCCGCAGCCUCAGAUUGCCAAGUCCCAGCUGUGUUCUGACUUCCUCCAGUCUUUGCCCUCACUUUAUCUUUACUAUCAAGCUUCCGCUUCCACUUUCAAAACUCAGUGUAGAAAGCACUUCCUUGAGGAUACCUCCUUUGAGUCCUUGCGGCUGGAAUGCCCCCUUCACCACUUGGCUGAUUCUGGAGUGUGUCUCCUCACCUUCAGUGUAUGCUGAGGGCAGGGCUGGCGUCAUCACUAACACAAGGGGACCCCAAGUGUGGGUCUGAUGACUGAGAAGAGAAGCAGAGACCCUCUGCUCCCAGAGACCAAGUAACUUCAAAAGCAGGGGAGUGAAGUAGGCCAGAGCUAAUCUGAUUACUCCAGCAGCUACCCCUCUCCCCUGGGACAGCUAGGGAUAAGCCACAUUCUCCCAUGGCCAGGACAGGGCUGACCUCUGAGGACGUCUCUGCUCCCAGACUCAAGAUGCCUCCCUCUCGCGCCACUGUGCAUCUUUGCAGCGGGACAGGAACGAGGUCCCAAACCCCAGUGGAGGACUGUGACCCAGCUGGGAAGAGGCAUGUGUGGCUGGAGUUCACUGCCCUUGGGAGCUGGGAGUGGAGGAGACGCCCCUGCCUGUGGGAACAGUAGGGAGGGGUGGUCUGGCUACUUGCCCAGCCAGGGAAUAUCAAAUAUCUACUUCCCCUUUCUCCCUGGAUGGGCAACGUGAGGUGAGUGGCACUGGCCCAGCUAGGGACCCAGGGGCAAGUGGGCGAGCACAAUGAGUCUGGUCCCUCACAGAAUGUCGGGCCCAACUGCUUUCUUAUCAAUAUGGAGAAAGCAAGGUCCUUGGUGUUGGGGUGCAAUGUGAAUCCUUCUGUUCCCAGUGGCCCCUGCCCCAGCAGAGCAGCUGCAGAAUGGGCAGCUCUGGGCCUCCGGGUUCCAUGGACUGCAUAUAACAAAUAAGAUGUCCCCAGCAGAGUCUCACAGGGACAGAGCUGAGCUCAAACCUGAGAGACCCCGAGUCUCUCACGUGUCCUGGCCUAGGUAGGUGCAGAUAGUCCAAGCAUAGAAGCAGUUGUUUUAUAUUUAAUUUACAAAAGAGACCCCAAAAAAAUAAUAAUAAACUAUUCAGGGGCAGGAGAGUAGGGUCAGGUCCUCUCUGGCCCGGCUGUGCCCCUCUUCCUCUCAGGCUGGGAGAGAAGGGGCCUCUCA